RNAcentral lists this long non-coding RNA (4025 nucleotides) under Canis lupus familiaris (dog). RNAcentral's name for it is "lncRNA (ENSCAFG00000050848.1)". The record is from RNAcentral. Lineage: Eukaryota; Metazoa; Chordata; Mammalia; Carnivora; Canidae.
GAAACCCAUUUACCAUAUUACACUUCUGAGAGUCAAGAUCUUAAUUGAGUAUGACUAGGCUACAAUUAAGGGUUCAAUAAAGGUAUGACUUCUGGAAGCUUCAGAGGGAAAUCUGUUUCCCUGCCUUUUCUCACUUUUGGAGGAUGCCUACAUUUCUUGGCUGAUAGACCCAUCCUCCAUCUUGAAAGUCUGACCCUCUUAUCUCCUUCUCCUAAAGACCUUUGUGAUUACAUCAUAGGACCAUCCAAAUAAUCCAGAAUAGUUUCUCUAUUUGAUGGUCCUUAAUUACAUCUUGAAAGUCCCCUUUGCCACUUAAAAUAACCUAGUCACAAAUUCCAGGGAUUAGGAAAUCUUUGGGGACCAUGGUGCAGACUACUACAUUUACUUAUUAAAAAGAUUAAGUUCAGGACAGGACUGAAUAAGGCUUUUCUUAAGGGCCAAAUUAAAAAAAAAAACAAAACUAAAUAUAAAACACUUUAAGUACUUUAAAAAAAGUUGGAGUAUAAAACACUUUUUACCCAACGUAAAGCCCUUAUGUUUUAGGAGCUUAAAAUCAUACAUAUGAAACAGAGACAUGGUUAGCAUAAGGAUAACAAAAUAUUACGUGUUUAGGUUUUUAUUUUUAUUUUUAUUCUUUUUUUAGAAAUUUCUACUUAAAAUAAUUCACUUUAAAACACAUCCAUCCUGUUAUUGGGAAUAAAUGCAUGGAAUACAUAAAAAGGCAGGAGGAAAAAGUACCAUGUGUUGGAACUUGAAAAUAACAUAAGAGGUCAAAAAGUUAUAUGUCACACAUUCAAGUGUGAUAACAAAAAUAAUUUUUAAAAAUGUAUUAGUCAUCAAAGUGUGUUCGUUUUUUAAUUUGUGAGAUAGAACAUGAAAGACAGAAAUAUUUUGGAGACUGUGAGAUUCAUGGAGUUCCUAAAGCCCAGAUCUCUGGCCUGAACAGCAUAAAUGUGACUCUUUGAACCAUAUUUGGAUUCUGAUGAAGCAUGGAAAUCAGUGGUAGGUCUGAAACUAAACCGUAAUUCACUCUAAUGGUUUGUUGUGAUGGUCAAAAUGAGAGAGAAGUUAGAUUGUGUGAACUACAAACUGAAGAAUUUUAUGUUCAUUCUGAGCAAGAUUAUAGAACCUAAAAAUAAACUCAUUAUUUUAUGACACUUACUAGAAGGAAAAACAAGCACUUAGACCCAGGAUAGAAACUGAAACUAUUGUUUUGGGAACAGAACACUAGACUAGAUCUAGGUUAACCUGGAAGGAAUUUUAUAAUUGUAAAUAGUAGUACACUAUUCCUAAGAUAGCCAUCAGCUAACGAGUGUUAGUUUUAUUAAAAUUACUCGGUAAGGUACUUAAAAAUGUAAUUUCAUUCAUAUGAAAUAUCAAGAAUUUACAAAUCCAUAGAGGCAGAAAGUAGAUUGUGGUUGCCAGGGACUAGGGGUAGGGCGAAAGGGGAGGGAUGCUUACUGAGUUUGGGCUUUUCCUGUGGGCUGAUGAAUUACUCAACUAGAUAGUGGUGGCAGUUGCACAAUACUGUCAAUGUCUUUAAUGCCUCUGUAUGCUUCAAAAUAGUUAAAAUGAUAAAUUUUAUAUUAUGUAUAUUUUACCACAAUAAAAAAAUGUUGAAUACAGUUUUUUGGACAUACCCAAAAAGUGAGUAAAAAUAAAUGCCCAGGAAUCUGUAUUUUGAACAUGCAAAUCAGGAGAUUUUGAAAUGUAAGGACUUUGCAAAUUCUGUAAGUUUGUUUACAGUUGGGAUAAAGUUAUAAAGGUUGCUCCAGGUAUCUAUUGCUAUAUAACAAACCACCCCAAAGCUGACUUAAAACUAUAUGAAACAUGGGUUUUGAUCAUGAUUUCUAGCAGUUGGGCUUUCUCAAUGUUUUUGCUCUGAGUAUUGUGUUUUUUUUUUUUUUUUUUUUGCCGGCAGAAGGUGGUUGGGGCAUGGUUUUCUUGGAGCCACAUAGCCUCAUUUCCCCCACACUAUUCUACUAGUUGAGGCAGCACAAAGGCAGUUGAGUAUUCAAAAGGGGGGGGGUAACAGAUUGUAGGUUUUGAUAAAAGAACUGGUAGGUUGGGAAAAGUUGGAGCCAUAUUUUGAAAGUGCAAAUCACUGGGGUCCUGGGAUAGCUCAGUUGGUUAAGCACCCAACCCUUGAUUUCUGCUGGAGUUGUGAUCUUGGGGUUAUGGGAUUGAGCCCUGCAUUGUGCUUUGUGCUCAGCUUAGAGUCUGCUUGGAAUCUCUCUCUCCCUCUGCCUCUCCCGCCACUCUCACAUGCACACUUUCAAUGAAUGAAUGAAUGAAUGAAUGAAUAUUCUGAAAAAAACACACAUGCACACAAGCUUAGAAAGUGUAACCUGAUGGAGGGCAUGCCCUUUGAAUUUAGAGUGAAUACUUGCUCAGGAUUGCCAUAGAUUUGAAAACUUGAGAUCAACCUAACAGGAUAAAAUUUGACUUAAAUUUGUAUGUCUUUAUUCAUAUAAUCUAAUCAUCUAUGCAUGAAGAAUGAUAAAGCACAGGAACAGCAUGGAGCACAAGGACUUGGAGGCUUGCUCUUUUUUUAAAAAUAUUUUAUUUAUUUAUUAAUGGGAGACACACACAGAAAGAGAGGCAGAGACAUAGGCAGAGGGAGAAGCAGGCUCCCUGUGGGGAGCCCCAUGAUGGGACUCAAUCCUAGGACCCCGGGAUCACGACCUGAGCCUAAGGCAGACAGUCAACCACUGAGCCACCCAAAUGCCCCAGGAUUUGGAGUUUUAAGCCAAAGUAGGAUCAUCCAAAGUAUAAGUUGAUAAAUCUAUUUAUUUAAUGCUCUAUUAGUACAAAGUAAAAGAAAACUUUUUUCUAUACCUUGGAUAAGUGAUCAUUUUGCAAUAUGCUUAUUCUGCUGUAAAUUUAUUAUAAAUAUAUUGAACUUUAUUGAAUGCUCCAAAAAAUGAUUAAACUAUAUCUUUAUUCUUGAACAAUUAAAUUGUUUCCUCUUCUUUGAAAUAAAAAAGUGAUACAUAUUAUGUGCUUUCAACCUUCCUUGCCCCAUCUCGACCAAUAUUUAGAGUUACUUCUUAAAGACUGUCAUAAAAUUAGAAUAACUUUGUCAAAGGGUAAAUACUUUUUAUAUUCACUUCUCCAUUUUCCCAUAAAUAAUUCUUUUGAGUUUCUGUACCUAUAUUGUUGACCAAUUCAUUUAUAUGGAAAUAGCACUUUAACUAUAAUAUUUUAUAUAUACUGUAUGUAAUACAUUUAGAUAGAUCAUCAUAUUCGACCCUUAAAACCACCCUGGAAGAUACAUUAUUAUUUAUUAUUAUUACAUCUAUUACAGAUAAUAAAUGAGAAAAACAGGACUUAGGAAGGUUUAGAAAUUUGCUUAAACUUAAAUAGGUCACAGAACCAGGAUUCCAGAUGUUAUGAUUCCCAAAAGCUAAAACCCCUUUAGCAUGCUGUGCUUCAGAAUAUUCAAAUGAUGAAAUUAUAGUCCAGAAAGGUUAAAAUGAAUGGUAAAAGUCACAAAGCAUCUAAGUUUCAGGCCUAAAACCUAGUUUCCUUGAUGUUUUCUCGAGUUUUAUUUAUGCUUUUUUUAGCCCUAAAAUACAAAUUUCUAUAUAUUUCUUAUAUCUGGUGGGGGGGGGGAGGCAAAGGAAACUUAAUUAUAUCUACUUUAUCAAAUAGUCCUCUAGGGAUUUAUUUUUGUCAAAAUAAUCUUCCAUAUUAGUAAAACUUAAAGACCAGAACACAACAAAUACAAUGUAGCCCUUUCUUGAAACCCUUUAGAGAGCUUAGAUCAUAACAUUAACUACUAUAAACUAUUUACUUGUCCUAACAAAUUUGCUUUUAAUAAAUAUUGUUUUUAACUGAAUGAAACAUUCUGAAAUUCACUCCCAAAUUUUCUUAGAUGGUAAAGAGUUGUGUAAAAGCAAACUUUACAUGUAAUUUGUGAACCGUAGCAAUUACUAUCAUAUCAUUUAAAUCGCAGGAAGUGCUGACCUGUUUUACAUUUUAUUUUGGUUGUUUGCUUGAUUUUUGCCUCUUCAUUAUACCUC